AGCAGCCGCGGUAAUUCCAGCUCCAAUAGCGUAUAUUAAAGUUGUUGCAGUUAAAAAGCUCGUAGUUGAAUUUCGGGAUCAAAUUGUCGGUCGUGCCUCGGUACGCACUGGUAUUAUUGGUUCCUACCUUCUGAAGAACCGCGAUGUCAUUAAUUUGGUGUCGUGGGGAAUCAGGACUGUUACUUUGAAAAAAUUAGAGUGUUUAAAGCAGGCUUACGCUUGAAUACAUUAGCAUGGAAUAAUGAAAUAGGACGUUUGAUUCUAUUUUGUUGGUUUCUAGGAUUGACGUAAUGAUUAAUAGGGAUAGUUGGGGGCAUUAGUAUUCAAUUGUCAGAGGUGAAAUUCUUGGAUUUAUUGAAGACUAACUACUGCGAAAGCAUUUGCCAAGGAUGUUUUCAUUAAUCAAGAACGAAAGUUAGGGGAUCGAAGACGAUCAGAUACCGUCGUAGUCUUAACCAUAAACUAUGCCGACUAGGGAUCGGAUGAUGUUAAUUUUUAANGACUCAUUCGGCGCCUUACG
Molecule: ribosomal RNA, 520 nt
Filed under: uncultured Glomus
Lineage: Eukaryota; Fungi; Glomeromycota; Glomeromycetes; Glomerales; Glomeraceae
Description: SSU rRNA
Rfam family: Eukaryotic small subunit ribosomal RNA
Source: RNAcentral